GAUGGGCGCAGCUCAAGAACAUAGCCGCGUGAGGGAUGACGGCCUUCGGGUAGUAAACCUCUUUCGCCAAAGGACGAAGCGCAAGUGACCGUACCUGGAGAACAAGGACCGGCCAACUACGUGCCAGCAGCCGCGGUAAUACGGUAGGCUCCCGAGCGUUGUCCGGAAUUACUGGGCGUAAAGAGCUCGUAGGUGGUUUCUCGCCUUGUUCGUGAAAACUCACAGAUUAACUGUGGGCGUGCGGGCGAUUCGGGCAGACUUGAGUACUGCAGGAGAGACUGGAAUUCCUGGUGUAGCGAUGGAAUGCGCAGAUAUCAGGAGGAACACCGGUGGAGAAGGCGGGUCU
RNAcentral lists this ribosomal RNA (346 nucleotides) under uncultured bacterium. RNAcentral's name for it is "bacterial SSU rRNA". It matches the Rfam family "Bacterial small subunit ribosomal RNA", at positions 370 to 728 of the family's 1533-position model. The record is from RNAcentral.